GAUGAACGCUGGCGGCGUGCCUAAUACAUGCAAGUCGAGCGAACGGACGAGAAGCUUGCUUCUCUGAUGUUAGCGGCGGACGGGUGAGUAACACGUGGAUAACCUACCUAUAAGACUGGGAUAACUUCGGGAAACCGCAGCUAAUACCGGAUAAUAUUUUGAACCGCAUGGUUCAAAAGUGAAAGACGGUCUUGCUGUCACUUAUAGAUGGAUCCGCGCUGCAUUAGCUAGUUGGUAAGGUAACGGCUUACCAAGGCAACGAUGCAUAGCCGACCUGAGAGGGUGAUCGGCCACACUGGAACUGAGACACGGUCCAGACUCCUACGGGAGGCAGCAGUAGGGAAUCCUCCGCAAUGGGCGAAAGCCUGACGGAGCAACGCCGCGUGAGUGAUGAAGGUCUUCGGAUCGUAAAACUCUGUUAUUAGGGAAGAACAUAUGUGUAAGUAACUGUGCACAUCUUGACGGUACCUAAUCAGAAAGCCACGGCUAACUACGUG
This 497-nucleotide ribosomal RNA is filed under the name uncultured bacterium. RNAcentral describes it as "partial 16S ribosomal RNA". It matches the Rfam family "Bacterial small subunit ribosomal RNA", at positions 28 to 507 of the family's 1533-position model. The record is from RNAcentral.